RNAcentral lists this non-coding RNA (24 nucleotides) under Arabidopsis thaliana (thale cress). The record is from RNAcentral. Lineage: Eukaryota; Viridiplantae; Streptophyta; Magnoliopsida; Brassicales; Brassicaceae.
UUGAUAAGAAAUGUAUUUAGUUGC